RNAcentral lists this ribosomal RNA (2931 nucleotides) under Escherichia coli. RNAcentral's name for it is "23S ribosomal RNA". It matches the Rfam family "Bacterial large subunit ribosomal RNA". Lineage: Bacteria; Pseudomonadati; Pseudomonadota; Gammaproteobacteria; Enterobacterales; Enterobacteriaceae. The record is from RNAcentral.
GGGUUGUGAGGUUAAGCGACUAAGCGUACACGGUGGAUGCCCUGGCAGUCAGAGGCGAUGAAGGACGUGCUAAUCUGCGAUAAGCGUCGGUAAGGUGAUAUGAACCGUUAUAACCGGCGAUUUCCGAAUGGGGAAACCCAGUGUGAUUCGUCACACUAUCAUUAACUGAAUCCAUAGGUUAAUGAGGCGAACCGGGGGAACUGAAACAUCUAAGUACCCCGAGGAAAAGAAAUCAACCGAGAUUCCCCCAGUAGCGGCGAGCGAACGGGGAGCAGCCCAGAGCCUGAAUCAGUGUGUGUGUUAGUGGAAGCGUCUGGAAAGGCGCGCGAUACAGGGUGACAGCCCCGUACACAAAAAUGCACAUGCUGUGAGCUCGAUGAGUAGGGCGGGACACGUGGUAUCCUGUCUGAAUAUGGGGGGACCAUCCUCCAAGGCUAAAUACUCCUGACUGACCGAUAGUGAACCAGUACCGUGAGGGAAAGGCGAAAAGAACCCCGGCGAGGGGAGUGAAAAAGAACCUGAAACCGUGUACGUACAAGCAGUGGGAGCACGCUUAGGCGUGUGACUGCGUACCUUUUGUAUAAUGGGUCAGCGACUUAUAUUCUGUAGCAAGGUUAACCGAAUAGGGGAGCCGAAGGGAAACCGAGUCUUAACUGGGCGUUAAGUUGCAGGGUAUAGACCCGAAACCCGGUGAUCUAGCCAUGGGCAGGUUGAAGGUUGGGUAACACUAACUGGAGGACCGAACCGACUAAUGUUGAAAAAUUAGCGGAUGACUUGUGGCUGGGGGUGAAAGGCCAAUCAAACCGGGAGAUAGCUGGUUCUCCCCGAAAGCUAUUUAGGUAGCGCCUCGUGAAUUCAUCUCCGGGGGUAGAGCACUGUUUCGGCAAGGGGGUCAUCCCGACUUACCAACCCGAUGCAAACUGCGAAUACCGGAGAAUGUUAUCACGGGAGACACACGGCGGGUGCUAACGUCCGUCGUGAAGAGGGAAACAACCCAGACCGCCAGCUAAGGUCCCAAAGUCAUGGUUAAGUGGGAAACGAUGUGGGAAGGCCCAGACAGCCAGGAUGUUGGCUUAGAAGCAGCCAUCAUUUAAAGAAAGCGUAAUAGCUCACUGGUCGAGUCGGCCUGCGCGGAAGAUGUAACGGGGCUAAACCAUGCACCGAAGCUGCGGCAGCGACGCUGAUGCGUUGUUGGGUAGGGGAGCGUUCUGUAAGCCUGCGAAGGUGUGCUGUGAGGCAUGCUGGAGGUAUCAGAAGUGCGAAUGCUGACAUAAGUAACGAUAAAGCGGGUGAAAAGCCCGCUCGCCGGAAGACCAAGGGUUCCUGUCCAACGUUAAUCGGGGCAGGGUGAGUCGACCCCUAAGGCGAGGCCGAAAGGCGUAGUCGAUGGGAAACAGGUUAAUAUUCCUGUACUUGGUGUUACUGCGAAGGGGGGACGGAGAAGGCUAUGUUGGCCGGGCGACGGUUGUCCCGGUUUAAGCGUGUAGGCUGGUUUUCCAGGCAAAUCCGGAAAACUAAGGCUGAGGCGUGAUGACGAGGCACUACGGUGCUGAAGCAACAAAUGCCCUGCUUCCAGGAAAAGCCUCUAAGCAUCAGGUAACAUCAAAUCGUACCCCAAACCGACACAGGUGGUCAGGUAGAGAAUACCAAGGCGCUUGAGAGAACUCGGGUGAAGGAACUAGGCAAAAUGGUGCCGUAACUUCGGGAGAAGGCACGCUGAUAUGUAGGUGAAGCGACUUGCUCGUGGAGCUGAAAUCAGUCGAAGAUACCAGCUGGCUGCAACUGUUUAUUAAAAACACAGCACUGUGCAAACACGAAAGUGGACGUAUACGGUGUGACGCCUGCCCGGUGCCGGAAGGUUAAUUGAUGGGGUCAGCGCAAGCGAAGCUCUUGAUCGAAGCCCCGGUAAACGGCGGCCGUAACUAUAACGGUCCUAAGGUAGCGAAAUUCCUUGUCGGGUAAGUUCCGACCUGCACGAAUGGCGUAAUGAUGGCCAGGCUGUCUCCACCCGAGACUCAGUGAAAUUGAACUCGCUGUGAAGAUGCAGUGUACCCGCGGCAAGACGGAAAGACCCCGUGAACCUUUACUAUAGCUUGACACUGAACAUUGAGCCUUGAUGUGUAGGAUAGGUGGGAGGCUUUGAAGUGUGGACGCCAGUCUGCAUGGAGCCGACCUUGAAAUACCACCCUUUAAUGUUUGAUGUUCUAACGUGGACCCGUGAUCCGGGUUGCGGACAGUGUCUGGUGGGUAGUUUGACUGGGGCGGUCUCCUCCUAAAGAGUAACGGAGGAGCACGAAGGUUGGCUAAUCCUGGUCGGACAUCAGGAGGUUAGUGCAAUGGCAUAAGCCAGCUUGACUGCGAGCGUGACGGCGCGAGCAGGUGCGAAAGCAGGUCAUAGUGAUCCGGUGGUUCUGAAUGGAAGGGCCAUCGCUCAACGGAUAAAAGGUACUCCGGGGAUAACAGGCUGAUACCGCCCAAGAGUUCAUAUCGACGGCGGUGUUUGGCACCUCGAUGUCGGCUCAUCACAUCCUGGGGCUGAAGUAGGUCCCAAGGGUAUGGCUGUUCGCCAUUUAAAGUGGUACGCGAGCUGGGUUUAGAACGUCGUGAGACAGUUCGGUCCCUAUCUGCCGUGGGCGCUGGAGAACUGAGGGGGGCUGCUCCUAGUACGAGAGGACCGGAGUGGACGCAUCACUGGUGUUCGGGUUGUCAUGCCAAUGGCACUGCCCGGUAGCUAAAUGCGGAAGAGAUAAGUGCUGAAAGCAUCUAAGCACGAAACUUGCCCCGAGAUGAGUUCUCCCUGACUCCUUGAGAGUCCUGAAGGAACGUUGAAGACGAUGACGUUGAUAGGCCGGGUGUGUAAGCGCAGCGAUGCGUUGAGCUAACCGGUACUAAUGAACCGUGAGGCUUAACCUUACAACGCCGAAGGUGUUU